This 2982-nucleotide unclassified non-coding RNA is filed under the name Amphibalanus amphitrite. RNAcentral's name for it is "uncharacterized protein K02A2.6-like, transcript variant X7". The record is from RNAcentral. Lineage: Eukaryota; Metazoa; Arthropoda; Thecostraca; Balanomorpha; Balanidae.
UCGCUGUUCUGUUUACUUUCAGCGAACGCAAGUAGACAUGGAGAUAGACACCGGCUCGGGUAACACUCUGAUAGGAGAGGACACAUACAAAUCUCUACGGAUACGUCCCAGGUUGAAACCCAGCGCUCUCAGGUUGAGAACGUACACAGGAGAUGUGAUUUCAGUCCUGGGGGAAUUCAGAACUGCAGUAACUUACAAGGGCCAGAAGCAUGCUAACCUCAAGGUUGUUGUGGUACAAGGAAAUAGGACCAGCCUAUUGGGACGGGACUGGUUGAAAGCUGUCAAGUUAGACUGGAAGGAAGUGUGUGCUGUUGAGAAUGUGUCAGUAGCGGCGUUGAGAAGGAAGUAUGCGGAAGUGUUUGAACCAGGUCUGGGGGAGUUGAAGGAUGUGAAGCUCCGCCUGAACAUUGACCGAAGUGUGCAGCCCAAGUUUUUCAGAGCUCGUUCCAUGCCAUACGCCUAUAAGGAAAAGGUGGAGAAGCAGCUGCAAAAGGACGUAGAGUCUGGUGUACUUGAACAGGUAACGCACAGCAGGUGGGCCGCUCCGCUAGUUCCUGUCUUGAAAAAGGAUGGCACUGUCAGAGUAUGUGCUAACUUAAAGCUGACUGCAAAUAAGGCUGUGAAGUGUGACACAUAUCCGCUUCCGCGCGCGCAGGAUAUUUUCGCGCAGCUUGCUGGGGGACGAGUCUUCACUACGCUGGAUCUAGCACAGGCGUAUAACCAGGUCAUUGUGCAUGAAGACUCGCGCGAUGUACUGACGGUGAACACGCCGAAGGGGUUGAUGCGUUACUCUCGUCUGCCUUUUGGGCUCAAUUCGGCGGUCAGUCUGUUUCAGAGGGAGAUUGAGCGGGUGCUUCGUGACUUACCUGGUGUGGUGGCUUACCUGGACGACAUCCUGAUCUCCAGCAGAACGACGGAGGAGCAUCUGAAGACGCUGGACGACGUCCUCGGAAGACUGAAGAGAGCCGGGUUGAAGGUGAGACCAGCCAAGUGUAGAUUCUUGGUGCACAGUGUCGAGUACUUGGGUCACAUCGUUGACAAGGACGGCAUCAGGCCGACACCAGCCAAGGUGCGAGCCAUACAGUCAGCGCCAGAACCGAAGAACGUUAAGCAGCUGAAGUCGUUCCUGGGAAUUCUGACGUAUUAUUCCAGAUAUAUUCCAGACCGCAGUCAGAAGCUGGCGCCACUUCAUCUCCUCCUGCAGAAGGACGUGGCAUGGCGCUGGGGUGCAGAGCAGGCUGCCAGCUUCCAGUGGGCUCGUGACGUCCUCUCGUCUGGCUCCGUGUUGGGUCACUUCGCCAUCAACAAACGGCAAGUCCUAGUGUGUGAUGCCUCCUCUGUGGGAAUCGGUGCCGUUUUGGCUCAGAGGGAAGCUGAUGGGACUGAGAAGCCAGUGGGAUUCGUUUCUAGAAGUCUGUCCCCAUGUGAACGCAAAUAUUCUCAGAUCGAGAGGGAAGCAUUGGCAAUCGUUUUCGGGGUUACCAAGUUUCACGCGUACCUGGCCGGUAACAUGUUCUCGCUGGUCACCGACCAUAAACCUCUGGUGAUGUUGUUCGGUGAACAUGCUGACCUACCUGAGAUGGCGUCUUCCAGAAUCCGGAGGUGGGCGUUGAAGCUCUCGACGUACCGAUACGAGAUUCAGUACCGGCGGACUGAAGAGAUGGGCAAUGCUGAUGCCCUCAGCCGCUGUCCUCUGCCUGACUCGAACUCUUCGCAGGAGGAGGAUCUGGUGCUCCUGGUCGAUGAUCAACAGCUGUUUGACGCCAGGAAGGUAGCCCUCCUGACGUCUCGUGACCCGGUGCUGUCUCGGGUAAUGCGUCUUGUCCAGAGGGGUGGCUGGCCGCAGGUUACAGAUGCAGACCUGUCACCUUUUGCCUCGAAGCGUCUGGAGUUGUCUGUUUGUCGUGGAGUGCUGAUGUGGGGUCACCGUGUCGUCGUUCCCAGCAGGGCACGUGAAGCAGUCUUGAAGGAGCUGCAUGUGGCGCACCCUGGCAUCCGCCGCAUGAAGGCUCUGGCGAGAGGCUGUGUCUGGUGGCCUCAACUGGACCAGCAUAUUGAGCACAUCGUGAACUCCUGUCAAGCCUGCCAGGAAAGCCGACCUGCACCGGGACGUUCUCCAAUCUGCAUGUGGCCGUGGCCUGAGCGGGCAUGGUCGAGGAUCCACGUGGACUUCGCUGAGCCGAAGAAGGGAAGCGUAUCACCCCGCACAGCACAACUUCCGUAGCCCCCUCAGAGCUGAUGGUGGGGCGUGUCCUCCGAAGUCGCCUGGACCUUCUGCACCCGGACCUGCGAACUGAGGUGAAGAAACAGGUGAUCCAAAAGGAAAACCACGAUGCUAAGGACGUUCUGCGCUGACUUCGGAGCCCGGUGACAUUCCUGCGGAAGGAGGGCAGCCAUCUCGGAAUCCGACGGCGGCGCUGCAGCCGUCUCGUCCGGGGGAGUCUGGCUUGGACGCGUCGCUGCCGCCGUUCAGCACACCUGGAGCGGCGCCUAGCGCUCCAGCAGCAUCGCCAUCGUCUUCGGCGCCUGCUCCGUCGGAGCCCCGGCCUGAGGCAUCAGAGCUCGAGCCCGCGUGUGUCGCCGGCGACGCUGGUGCACGGACGGAAACCCCACUGCGUUCGGGGCUCGGAGUGGAGGCUGGUGCAGGUGUACAGUCUCGUGUGUUGGACGAGGGUGGUGGUGUUCGUCGCGGAACUAGAGUGAGAAAGCAGACUAAGUUUUUUGGUUCCUAGCUCUGUUCAUAUUACUUGUGUUUUGUGAGGGGGCAGUGUAGUGAACUAUGGUUCACGCCUCCCCCACCUGUGGCCUGAGUGCGCCGCUGCUCCUCCCUUAUCGGCCGUCCCUGUGUCCGUCCCUGCGCGGUGUCCGUCCCUGCGUGUCGCGGCGCAUGUGCCUCGGGCGGUUUUGUGUGGCCUGGCGCGGCGGCCGGUCGGCCGACCGCGCGGCAGUCUGCAGCUGGACCCAAUACAGCAAGGAGCUCGG